CCUACGGGAGGCAGCAGUAAGGAAUAUUGGUCAAUGGACGCAAGUCUGAACCAGCCAUGCCGCGUGAAGGAUUAAGGUCCUCUGGAUUGUAAACUUCUUUUAUCUGGGACGAAAAAAGGCGAUUCUUCGUCACUUGACGGUACCAGAUGAAUAAGCACCGGCUAACUCCGUGCCAGCAGCCGCGGUAAUACGGAGGGUGCAAGCGUUAUCCGGAUUCACUGGGUUUAAAGGGUGCGCAGGCGGGCAGGUAAGUCAGUGGUGAAAUCCUAGAGCUUAACUCUAGAACUGCCAUUGAUACUAUCUGUCUUGAAUAUUGUGGAGGUAAGCGGAAUAUGUCAUGUAGCGGUGAAAUGCUUAGAUAUGACAUAGAACACCUAUUGCGAAGGCAGCUUACUACGCAUAUAUUGACGCUGAGGCACGAAAGCGUGGGGAUCAAACAGGAUUAGAUACCCUGGUAGUCACGCCCUAAACGAUGAUUACUCGACAUUUGUGAUACACUAUAAGUGUCUGAGCGAAAGCAUUAAGUAAUCCACCUGGAAGUACGACCCGCAAGGUUGAAACUCAAAGAGUAGUACGGACGGAGAGAGAGCGACGACGGACGACGACGGAGGGAGGAG
Molecule: ribosomal RNA, 617 nt
Filed under: uncultured bacterium
Lineage: Bacteria
Description: bacterial SSU rRNA
Rfam family: Bacterial small subunit ribosomal RNA
Source: RNAcentral